UACGGGGGAUGCAAGCGUUAUCCGGAUUUAUUGGGCGUAAAGCGCCUGUAGGUUGUUUAAUAAGUCUGUUGUUAAAGACUAGGGCUUAACCCUAGGAAAGCAAUGGAAACUACUAGACUUGAGUAUGAUAGGGGUAGAGGGAAUUUCUAGUGUAGCGGUGAAAUGCGUAGAUAUUAGAAAGAACACCGGUGGCGAAGGCGCUCUACUGGAUCAUUACUGACACUCAGAGGCGAAAGCUAGGGUAGCAAAAGGGAUUAGAUACCCCAGUAGUCCUAGCCGUAAACGAUGGAUACUAAACAUUGCGUGCUCGCCGUGGUGUUAUAGCUAACGCGUUAAGUAUCCCGCCUGGGGAGUAUGCUCGCAAGGGUG
Molecule: ribosomal RNA, 369 nt
Filed under: uncultured phototrophic eukaryote
Lineage: Eukaryota
Description: SSU rRNA
Rfam family: Bacterial small subunit ribosomal RNA
Source: RNAcentral